Non-coding RNA from Gnomoniopsis sp. IMI 355080, 87 nucleotides. Lineage: Eukaryota; Fungi; Ascomycota; Sordariomycetes; Diaporthales; Gnomoniaceae. The record is from the annotation of a GenBank genome assembly.
UCUCUCGUGGCGCAAUUGGCAAGCGCGUUCGACUGUUAAGCACACCAGUACAUCGAGAGGUUGAAAGUUCGAGCCUUUCCGAGAGAG